UACGUAGGGUGCAAGCGUUAAUCGGAAUUACUGGGCGUAAAGCGUGCGCAGGCGGUUUUGUAAGUCUGUCGUGAAAGCCCCGGGCUCAACCUGGGAAUUGCGAUGGAGACUGCAAGGCUUGAAUCUGGCAGAGGGGGGUAGAAUUCCACGUGUAGCAGUGAAAUGCGUAGAGAUGUGGAGGAACACCGAUGGCGAAGGCCGCCCCCUGGGUCAAGAUUGACGCUCAUGCACGAAAGCGUGGGGAGCAAACAGG
This 253-nucleotide ribosomal RNA is filed under the name uncultured bacterium. Its description in RNAcentral is "partial 16S ribosomal RNA". It matches the Rfam family "Bacterial small subunit ribosomal RNA", at positions 524 to 776 of the family's 1533-position model. The record is from RNAcentral.